GAGGGGAAACGACAUCGAAAGCUUGCUUUUGAUGGGCGUCGACCGGCGCACGGGUGAGUAACGCGUAUCCAACCUGCCCACCACUUGGGGAUAACCUUGCGAAAGUAAGACUAAUACCCAAUGAUAUCUCUAGAAGACAUCUGAAAGAGAUUAAAGAUUUAUCGGUGAUGGAUGGGGAUGCGUCUGAUUAGCUUGUUGGCGGGGUAACGGCCCACCAAGGCGACGAUCAGUAGGGGUUCUGAGAGGAAGGUCCCCCACAUUGGAACUGAGACACGGUCCAAACUCCUACGGGAGGCAGCAGUGAGGAAUAUUGGUCAAUGGACGAGAGUCUGAACCAGCCAAGUAGCGUGCAGGAUGACGGCCCUAUGGGUUGUAAACUGCUUUUAUAAGGGAAUAAAGUGAGUCUCGUGAGACUUUUUGCAUGUACCUUAUGAAUAAGGACCGGCUAAUUCCGUGCCAGCAGCCGCGGUAAUACGGAAGGUCCGGGCGUUAUCCGGAUUUAUUGGGUUUAAAGGGAGCGUAGGCCGGAGAUUAAGCGUGUUGUGAAAUGUAGACGCUCAACGUCUGCACUGCAGCGCGAACUGGUUUCCUUGAGUACGCACAAAGUGGGCGGAAUUCGUGGUGUAGCGGUGAAAUGCUUAGAUAUCACGAAGAACUCCGAUUGCGAAGGCAGCUCACUGGAGCGCAACUGACGCUGAAGCUCGAAAGUGCGGGUAUCGAACAGGAUUAGAUACCCUGGUAGUCCGCACGGUAAACGAUGGAUGCCCGCUGUU
Molecule: ribosomal RNA, 773 nt
Filed under: uncultured bacterium
Lineage: Bacteria
Description: bacterial SSU rRNA
Rfam family: Bacterial small subunit ribosomal RNA
Source: RNAcentral